GACGAACGCUGGCGGCGUGCUUAACACAUGCCAGUCGAACGGUGAAGGGAUCAGCUUGCUGGUUCUGGAUGAGUGGCGAACGGGUGAGUAACACGUGAGUAACCUGCCCCCUUCUUCUGGAUAACCGCAUGAAAGUGUUGCUAAUACGGGAUAUUCUGCGCCUGCUGCAUGGUGGGUGUGGGAAAGAUAUUGUUUCGGUGGGGGAUGGGCUCGCGGCCUAUCAGCUUGUUGGUGGGGUGAUGGCCUACCAAGGCGGUGACGGGUAGCCGGCCUGAGAGGGUGGACGGUCACACUGGGACUGAGACACGGCCCAGACUCCUACGGGAGGCAGCAGUGGGGAAUAUUGCACAAUGGGCGCAAGCCUGAUGCAGCGACGCCGCGUGAGGGAUGGAGGCCUUCGGGGUGUGAACCUCUUUCGCCAGUGAAGCAGGCCUGUCCCUUGUGGGUGGGUUGACGGUAGCUGGAGAAGAAGCGCCGGCUGACUACGUG
Molecule: ribosomal RNA, 489 nt
Filed under: uncultured bacterium
Lineage: Bacteria
Description: partial 16S ribosomal RNA
Rfam family: Bacterial small subunit ribosomal RNA
Source: RNAcentral